AGAUGGAAGRAWAWAUMSCACCAAGGCGACGAUCAGUAGCUGGCCUGAGAGGACGAUCAGCCACACUGGGACUGAGACACGGCCCAGACUCCUACGGGAGGCAGCAGUGGGGAAUUUUGGACAAUGGGCGAAAGCCUGAUCCAGCAAUGCCGCGUGUGUGAAGAAGGCCUUCGGGUUGUAAAGCACUUUUGUCCGGAAAGAAAUGGCUCUGGUUAAUACCUGGGGUCGAUGACGUACCGAAGAUUAGUUGA
This 251-nucleotide ribosomal RNA is filed under the name uncultured beta proteobacterium. Its description in RNAcentral is "partial 16S ribosomal RNA". Lineage: Bacteria; Pseudomonadati; Pseudomonadota; Betaproteobacteria. The record is from RNAcentral.